Molecule: ribosomal RNA, 467 nt
Filed under: uncultured bacterium
Lineage: Bacteria
Description: partial 16S ribosomal RNA
Rfam family: Bacterial small subunit ribosomal RNA
Source: RNAcentral
GACGAACGCUGGCGGCGUGCUUAACACAUGCAAGUCGAACGGAAAGGCCCUGCUUUUGUGGGGUGCUCGAGUGGCGAACGGGUGAGUAACACGUGAGUAACCUGCCCUUGACUUUGGGAUAACUUCAGGAAACUGGGGCUAAUACCGGAUAGGAGCUCCUGCUGCAUGGUGGGGGUUGGAAAGUUUCGGCGGUUGGGGAUGGACUCGCGGCUUAUCAGCUUGUUGGUGGGGUAGUGGCUUACCAAGGCUUUGACGGGUAGCCGGCCUGAGAGGGUGACCGGCCACAUUGGGACGGAGAUACGGCCCAGACUCCUACGGGAGGCAGCAGUGGGGAAUAUGGCACAAGGGGCGGAGGCCGGAGGCAGAAACGCCGCGGGCGGGAGGACGGCCUUCGGGUUGUAAACCGCUUUCGCCGGUGACGAAGCGUGGGUGACGGUAAUGGGGAAAGAAGCACCGGCUAACUACGU